GACGAACGCUGGCGGCGUGCCUAAUACAUGCAAGUAGAACGCUGAAGGAGGAGCUUGCUCUUCUGGAUGAGUUGCGAACGGGUGAGUAACGCGUAGGUAACCUGCCUGGUAGCGGGGGAUAACUAUUGGAAACGAUAGCUAAUACCGCAUAACAGUAGAUGUUGCAUGACAUUUACUUAAAAGGUGCAAUUGCAUCACUACCAGAUGGACCUGCGUUGUAUUAGCUAGUUGGUGGGGUAACGGCUCACCAAGGCGACGAUACAUAGCCGACCUGAGAGGGUGAUCGGCCACACUGGGACUGAGACACGGCCCAGACUCCUACGGGAGGCAGCAGUAGGGAAUCUUCGGCAAUGGACGGAAGUCUGACCGAGCAACGCCGCGUGAGUGAAGAAGGUUUUCGGAUCGUAAAGCUCUGUUGUAGGAGAAGAACGAGUGUGAGAGUGGAAAGUUCACACUGUGACGGUAUCUUACCAGAAAGGGACGGCUAACUACGUG
RNAcentral lists this ribosomal RNA (495 nucleotides) under uncultured bacterium. RNAcentral describes it as "partial 16S ribosomal RNA". It matches the Rfam family "Bacterial small subunit ribosomal RNA", at positions 28 to 507 of the family's 1533-position model. The record is from RNAcentral.